GUCAAGCUAGUGGAGACUCGUUCAUUGGACGUGCCUUGGCACUAUCGUGCUUUUUGGAAAGCCACUCUUCUCCAUCUGGCUGACAUGCACAUUCAAGUUUGUCACAUCUACCGUGAAGGUAACGUUGCAGCGGACAUUAUGGCGAAUCAAGCUAGAAGUGAAGGUUGGUGGUCAUAUGCUAUUGAGAUCUUUCUUCUCAUAGUUUUAUUCGUCAAUGCUAGAAGUGUGCGGUUUAGUGACGCCGAGGUUUUUUCCAACUUGCUGGUGCGCUGGCAGUUGGGCCUUGGGGGUCGGGUAACGUUGGUUGCUCCGUAACUUAUCUUCGUUUGGAUAGGUUGGCGUUGAGUUUUUGGAGUCUGCUUUUUCUCGGCAGAUUACGUGGGAUCCUUUGC
This 392-nucleotide long non-coding RNA is filed under the name Salvia miltiorrhiza (redroot sage). Its description in RNAcentral is "long non-coding RNA (SMIL_LNC002728)". The record is from RNAcentral. Lineage: Eukaryota; Viridiplantae; Streptophyta; Magnoliopsida; Lamiales; Lamiaceae.